UACGUAGGGGGCAAGCGUUAAUCGGAAUUACUGGGCGUAAAGCGAGCGUAGUCGGUUAUUUAAGUCGGAUGUGAAAUCCCCGGGCUCAACCUGGGAAUUGCAUUCGAUACUGGAUAGCUAGAGUUCGGCAGAGGGAAGCGGAAUUUCGGGUGUAGCGGUGAAAUGCGUAGAUAUCCGAAGGAACAUCAGUGGCGAAAGCGGCUUCCUGGACCAGAACUGACGAUCAGGCUCGAAAGCGUGGGGAGCAAACAGG
RNAcentral lists this ribosomal RNA (253 nucleotides) under uncultured bacterium. RNAcentral describes it as "partial 16S ribosomal RNA". It matches the Rfam family "Bacterial small subunit ribosomal RNA", at positions 524 to 776 of the family's 1533-position model. The record is from RNAcentral.